CGACAGCGACCACAGGUCAG
RNAcentral lists this ribosomal RNA (20 nucleotides) under Forsythia japonica. RNAcentral describes it as "partial 28S ribosomal RNA". Lineage: Eukaryota; Viridiplantae; Streptophyta; Magnoliopsida; Lamiales; Oleaceae. The record is from RNAcentral.